This 372-nucleotide long non-coding RNA is filed under the name Nicotiana benthamiana. Its description in RNAcentral is "long non-coding RNA (NBEN_LNC031892)". The record is from RNAcentral. Lineage: Eukaryota; Viridiplantae; Streptophyta; Magnoliopsida; Solanales; Solanaceae.
AAAAAGGAUAUGCUCUUUUCAGUUAAUAAAGACAUUGUAACAAUCAAACACAACUUCAAUUCAGUUGUUCAUUCAAAGUUAACAAAUCGCAGAUAUCAACUAGACUUCCAAAUUUUUAGUUUCAGGAGCAAUUGAGCUUCCAAGACCUGGCAGCAUGGCUAGCAAUACUGAUCCAUAACACUAAAAUUUGAGCUAUAUCUGUUAUGAGACGUACACAUCAUAGUAAGAUAAAGCACUAAUAGGAUGACUGACUAGUUAAAUAUCAUAACAUUAACAUUAAAGUCCCAAUUUAAGUCUGCUAACAAUGGUCUGUAAAAUUAAAGUACGAGCACAGACCAUCAAAGAAGCCAAUCCCUAAAUGGAGAUGAAGCU